This 253-nucleotide ribosomal RNA is filed under the name uncultured bacterium. RNAcentral describes it as "partial 16S ribosomal RNA". It matches the Rfam family "Bacterial small subunit ribosomal RNA", at positions 524 to 776 of the family's 1533-position model. The record is from RNAcentral. RNAcentral also lists the same sequence under 1 other name.
UACAGAGGUCUCGAGCGUUGUUCGGAUUCAUUGGGCGUAAAGGGUGCGUAGGCGGCGAGCUAAGUUUGGUGUGAAAUCCUGGGGCUUAACCUCAGAAAUGCACUGAAUACUGGUUUGCUAGAGGACUGGAGAGGAGAUUGGAAUUCACGGUGUAGCAGUGAAAUGCGUAGAUAUCGUGAGGAAGACCAGUGGCGAAGGCGAAUCUCUGGACAGUUCCUGACGCUGAGGCACGAAGGCCAGGGGAGCAAACGGG